RNAcentral lists this ribosomal RNA (482 nucleotides) under uncultured bacterium. Its description in RNAcentral is "partial 16S ribosomal RNA". It matches the Rfam family "Bacterial small subunit ribosomal RNA", at positions 30 to 505 of the family's 1533-position model. The record is from RNAcentral.
AUUGAACGCUGGCGGCAGGCCUAACACAUGCAAGUCGAGCGGAUGAAGGGAGCUUGCUCCUGGAUUCAGCGGCGGACGGGUGAGUAAUGCCUAGGAAUCUGCCUGGUAGUGGGGGAUAACGUCCGGAAACGGGCGCUAAUACCGCAUACGUCCUGAGGGAGAAAGUGGGGGAUCUUCGGACCUCACGCUAUCAGAUGAGCCUAGGUCGGAUUAGCUAGUUGGUGGGGUAAAGGCCUACCAAGGCGACGAUCCGUAACUGGUCUGAGAGGAUGAUCAGUCACACUGGAACUGAGACACGGUCCAGACUCCUACGGGAGGCAGCAGUGGGGAAUAUUGGACAAUGGGCGAAAGCCUGAUCCAGCCAUGCCGCGUGUGUGAAGAAGGUCUUCGGAUUGUAAAGCACUUUAAGUUGGGAGGAAGGGCAGUAAGUUAAUACCUUGCUGUUUUGACGUUACCAACAGAAGAAGCACCGGCUAACUUCG